RNAcentral lists this ribosomal RNA (254 nucleotides) under uncultured bacterium. RNAcentral describes it as "partial 16S ribosomal RNA". It matches the Rfam family "Bacterial small subunit ribosomal RNA", at positions 524 to 776 of the family's 1533-position model. The record is from RNAcentral.
UACGUAGGGAGCAAGCGUUGUUCGGAUUUACUGGGCGUAAAGGGCGCGUAGGCGGCGCGGUAAGUCACUUGUGAAAUCUCUGAGUUUAACUCAGAACGGCCAAGUGAUACUGCAGUGCUAGAGUGCAGAAGGGGCAAUCGGAAUUCUUGGUGUAGCGGUGAAAUGCGUAGAUAUCAAGAGGAACACCUGAGGUGAAGACGGGUUGCUGGGCUGACACUGACGCUGAGUGCGCGAAAGCCAGGGGAGCAAACGGG